GAUGAACGCUGGCGGCGUGCCUAAUACAUGCAAGUCGAGCGAACGGACGAGAAGCUUGCUUCUCUGAUGUUAGCGGCGGACGGGUGAGUAACACGUGGAUAACCUACCUAUAAGACUGGGAUAACUUCGGGAAACCGGAGCUAAUACCGGAUAAUAUUUUGAACCGCAUGGUUCAAAAGUGAAAGACGGUCUUGCUGUCACUUAUAGAUGGAUCCGCGCUGCAUUAGCUAGUUGGUAAGGUAACGGCUUACCAAGGCAACGAUGCAUAGCCGACCUGAGAGGGUGGUCGGCCACACUGGAACUGAGACACGGUCCAGACUCCUACGGGAGGCAGCAGUAGGGAAUCUUCCGCAAUGGGCGAAAGCCUGACGGAGCAACGCCGAGUGAGUGAUGACGGUCUUCGGAUCGUAAAACUCUGUUAUUAGGGAAGAACAUAUGUAUAAGUAACUGUGCACAUCUUGACGGUACCUAAUCAGAAAGCCACGGCUAACUACGUG
RNAcentral lists this ribosomal RNA (497 nucleotides) under uncultured bacterium. RNAcentral describes it as "partial 16S ribosomal RNA". It matches the Rfam family "Bacterial small subunit ribosomal RNA", at positions 28 to 507 of the family's 1533-position model. The record is from RNAcentral.